UACCAGACUCCUACGGGAGGCAGCAGUGGGGAAUAUUGCACAAUGGGGGAAACCCUGAUGCAGCGACGCCGCGUGAGCGAUGAAGUAUUUCGGUAUGUAAAGCUCUCUCAGCAGGGAAGAAGAUGACGGUACCUGACUAAGAAGCCCCGGCUAACUACGUGCCAGCAGCCGCGGUAAUACGUAGGGGGCAAGCGUUAUCCGGAUUUACUGGGUGUAAAGGGAGCGUAGACGGCGGUGCAAGCCAGAUGUGAAAGCCCGGGGCCCAACCCCCGGACUGCUCUGGAAACUGUGUAACUGGAGUGCAGGAGAGGCAGGCGGAAUUCCUAGUGUAGCGGUGAAAUGCGUAGAUAUUAGGAGGAACACCAGUGGCGAAGGCGGCCUGCUGGACUGUAACUGACGUUGAGGCUCGAAAGCGUGGGGAGCAAACAGGAUUAGAUACCCCCGUAGA
Molecule: ribosomal RNA, 448 nt
Filed under: uncultured bacterium
Lineage: Bacteria
Description: bacterial SSU rRNA
Rfam family: Bacterial small subunit ribosomal RNA
Source: RNAcentral